CACACGCACUUUACCGUAUACCUGUUAUUAUGUGUUUAUUUCGUGUACACGUCCGCAUCCACGAUUUUCUACUUGGAGAAUGGCUUUAGAAGAAGACCAUGCACUGAACGAAUAUGUAGCAGGUGUCAUGAAGAAAUUAUCGCGACGUAAAA
Long non-coding RNA from Bombus terrestris (buff-tailed bumblebee), 152 nucleotides. RefSeq lists it as uncharacterized. Lineage: Eukaryota; Metazoa; Arthropoda; Insecta; Hymenoptera; Apidae. The record is from RefSeq and is a predicted model, not a curated record. The transcript is spliced from 2 exons.